AUUGAACGCUGGCGGCAGGCCUAACACAUGCAAGUCGAACGGUAACAGGAAGAAGCUUGCUUCUUUGCUGACGAGUGGCGGACGGGUGAGUAAUGUCUGGGAAACUGCCUGAUGGAGGGGGAUAACUACUGGAAACGGUAGCUAAUACCGCAUAACGUCGCAAGACCAAAGAGGGGGACCUUCGGGCCUCUUGCCAUCGGAUGUGCCCAGAUGGGAUUAGCUAGUAGGUGGGGUAACGGCUCACCUAGGCGACGAUCCCUAGCUGGUCUGAGAGGAUGACCAGCCACACGGGAACUGAGACACGGUCCAGACUCCUACGGGAGGCAGCAGUGGGGAAUAUUGCACAAUGGGCGCAAGCCUGAUGCAGCCAUGCCGCGUGUAUGAAGAAGGCCUUCGGGUUGUAAAGUACUUUCAGCGGGGAGGAAGGGAGUAAGGUUAAUACCUUUGCUCAUUGACGUUACCCGCAGAAGAAGCACCGGCUAACUCCGUG
This 490-nucleotide ribosomal RNA is filed under the name uncultured bacterium. RNAcentral describes it as "partial 16S ribosomal RNA". It matches the Rfam family "Bacterial small subunit ribosomal RNA", at positions 30 to 507 of the family's 1533-position model. The record is from RNAcentral.